GCGGAUGUAGUUUAAUGGUAGAACAUCAGCUUCCCAAGCUGAGAACGCGGGUUCGAUUCCCGUCAUCCGCUCCA
This 74-nucleotide transfer RNA is filed under the name Pseudonocardiaceae bacterium. RNAcentral's name for it is "tRNA-Gly". It matches the Rfam family "tRNA". Rfam says of the family: Transfer RNA (tRNA) molecules are approximately 80 nucleotides in length. Their secondary structure includes four short double-helical elements and three loops (D, anti-codon, and T loops). Further hydrogen bonds mediate the characteristic L-shaped molecular structure. tRNAs have two regions of fundamental functional importance: the anti-codon, which is responsible for specific mRNA codon recognition, and the 3' end, to which the tRNAs corresponding amino acid is attached (by aminoacyl-tRNA synthetases). tRNAs cope with the degeneracy of the genetic code in two manners: having more than one tRNA (with a specific anti-codon) for a particular amino acid; and 'wobble' base-pairing, i.e. permitting non-standard base-pairing at the 3rd anti-codon position. RNAcentral also lists the same sequence under 6 other names. Lineage: Bacteria; Bacillati; Actinomycetota; Actinomycetes; Pseudonocardiales; Pseudonocardiaceae. The record is from RNAcentral.